AGUAACGGCGAGUGAACGGAGAUUAGCCCAGCACCGAAGCCUAUUCACGCUUGUGGACAAGGCAAUGUGGUGUUUAGGCGUGCACCUGGGAUGACUCGUCUACUCGAAGUCCAUCUCCGAUUAUGGUCUUGGAUUUGUCCCAAAGAGGGUGAAAGGCCCGUUCGAGUAGACAUGCAGCAUUCUGAGUCAUCCUCUGAUUUGCACGCCUUGGAGUCGGAUUGCUUGAGAAUGCAGUCCAAAGUGGGUGGUAAACUCCAUCCAAGGCUAAAUACCUGCACGAGUCCGAUAGUAAACAAGUACCGUGAGGGAAAGUUGAAAAGUACUCUGAAGAGAGAGUAAAUAGUACGUGAAGCCGCCUGUUGGGAAGCGGAUGGAGUCAAGCUUCAUGCCUGAUUGAUUAGUGCUGCGAGAUCUCCUUGUUUAUAUGAUCGUUACUGAUGGUUUGCCUGGAAAUGGUGAGGCGGAUUAUCCGCUUCCUGCAAUCUGGGUUGCUUGCUUGAGCCAUCAGUUUCGGUUAGUCUCGCGCAUCCUAUCACCAGGCCUACAUCACGGUUGAUAGCCUCUUGGUGCUUGAUAGUCAAACCAUGUCCGUGUGGGUUAAGGCCUGCUGGUCGUGGGCUGGCAGGUGGUUGCAGAGCAUAGCGAUAUGCCUUUCAACUUAUGUUGUUUACAGCCGACUAUCAAGCCAAUGCUUUACUAUUUCGAGCUAUCAAUUUUCGUUCAACCAAUUGCCCUUACCGGCAGUUGGUGAGAGAACCGUGGUGUUGGAGUAGAUUUUCCAUCCGACCCGUCUUGAAACACGGACCAAGGAGUUUAACAUGCUGGCAAGUUAUUGGACUAUUUGAACUCCAAUGGCGCAAUGAAAGUAAAUGAUCAGCUUGCUGAUCUCGGUGUGAUGCUUGGUUUCAUUAGACCGGAGCC
RNAcentral lists this ribosomal RNA (921 nucleotides) under Vancleaveus janauacaensis. Its description in RNAcentral is "eukaryotic LSU rRNA". It matches the Rfam family "Eukaryotic large subunit ribosomal RNA", at positions 82 to 760 of the family's 3401-position model. The record is from RNAcentral. Lineage: Eukaryota; Metazoa; Platyhelminthes; Monogenea; Dactylogyridea; Dactylogyridae.